RNAcentral lists this ribosomal RNA (293 nucleotides) under uncultured eukaryote. RNAcentral describes it as "partial 18S ribosomal RNA". It matches the Rfam family "Eukaryotic small subunit ribosomal RNA", at positions 6 to 301 of the family's 1831-position model. The record is from RNAcentral.
GGUUGAUCCUGCCAGUAGUCAUAUGCUUGUUUCAAAGAUUAAGCCAUGCAUGUCUAAGUAUAAACAUCUUUAUACCGUGAAACUGCGUACAGCUCAUUAUAUCAGUAAUUCUUUCUUUGAUGGUUUUUUACUACAUGGAUAACCGUAGUAAUUCUAGAGCUAAUACAUGCCAUAAAAUCUCGACGCAAGAAGAGAUGGAUUUAUUAGAUACAGAACCAAUGGUAGCAAUACCUUUUGGUGAUUCAUGAUAACUUUACAGAGCGUAUGACUUUAUGUUGACGCCAGUUCAUUCA